UGGAUUUGCUUCAGCAGGAAUAGAAGCAAAACCCGAAUUUGAAGACCUAAUCAUGCCGAAGCAAAUCCACGAGAUCAAGGAUUUCCUCCUAACAGCAAGGAGGAAGGAUGCACGAUCUGUCAAGAUCAAGAAGAACAAGGAUAUGGUUAAGUUCAAGGUUCGCUGCUCCAAGUACCUUUACACACUCUGUGUGUCUGACUUUGAGAAGGCUGACAAGUUG
Molecule: unclassified non-coding RNA, 220 nt
Filed under: Hevea brasiliensis (rubber tree)
Lineage: Eukaryota; Viridiplantae; Streptophyta; Magnoliopsida; Malpighiales; Euphorbiaceae
Source: RNAcentral